CUGGCACUAUAGUGCCCUGAGGGUGCCCCCACCCUCAGGGUCCCCCUCCCGCCGGGCUCUGGGGAGAGGAAGGGGUUAAAAUCUUACCUUUCUCCAGCGCCGGGCGGGGAGCUCUCCUCCUCCUCCAUAGCAACGUCAUCGGCUGAAUGCGCAUGUGCGGCAGGAGCCGCGCGCACAUUCAGCCAGUUCAUAGGAAAGCAUUUACCAU
Molecule: non-coding RNA, 208 nt
Organism: Pelobates cultripes (western spadefoot toad)
Lineage: Eukaryota; Metazoa; Chordata; Amphibia; Anura; Pelobatidae
Source: the annotation of a GenBank genome assembly